CUUCGCAAAGGUGCCAAAAUAUCUUUGUCCAUCCAUUAGCUCAAUGACACAACCACCCCCAAACCUGGGAUCCUCGCUUGCCCAUGAGGCAUCAAUCUGGCAUUGAGCUCUUGGACUGUUACUCACAACAUUUUGGGAAAGAUCCGGCUCAUUAACACUUUCUUCUCCUACAUGAGAGGCAAUUUGUGCAACUUUCCAAAUUUCUGCUUCAUUGGUGGCAAUAUGCAGAGUGUCCAUGGGGGAGGUUUCUUUACUAUUAAAUACUUUGUCGUUUCUAACUUUCCAGAUAUACCAGAUUAUCCACGGGAAUGCAUCUAGGGAAUUCUCCAUUGUUCCUUCUUCCUUUGCGUGCCAAAGGAGAUGAUCAAAAUUUCUGUAUAAAGAAUCACACGGGAAUGAACCCGGACUAGACGGAAUCCCUGAUAAAGCCCAUGUCUGAACCGCUGGAAGACAUUCAAAGAGAAGAUGAUUGAUAGAUUCAACAUGUGCUCCACAUCUGGGACAGAAUCGAUCGGUUCUACAAUGACGAUUUGCAAGGUUGUUACUCACACUAACACAUCCGGACACUGCCUGCCAC
This 577-nucleotide long non-coding RNA is filed under the name Eutrema salsugineum. RNAcentral's name for it is "long non-coding RNA (ESAL_LNC001187)". The record is from RNAcentral. Lineage: Eukaryota; Viridiplantae; Streptophyta; Magnoliopsida; Brassicales; Brassicaceae.